UACUAAGCCGCGUCAAUAUCUUUUUCAAGAUAUAUUGAUGGAUGGGUAUUUGAUUGUGGAUAUUGUUCUUUCGUUCACUAGAUUGUGUGCGGUUGGAUGAAAUAUUAUUGUAUUUGAUGCCAAAUGUCUUACAUGUUUUGGUUAACAUUGUAUGAUAUUAAUGUUAUCGGGUAAAGCUAAAAUCCAAAUAGAAUUUCAAUCUCAUUCUCGUAAAAUGAGAGAAACC
This 226-nucleotide unclassified non-coding RNA is filed under the name Arceuthobium verticilliflorum. The record is from RNAcentral. Lineage: Eukaryota; Viridiplantae; Streptophyta; Magnoliopsida; Santalales; Viscaceae.